This 319-nucleotide unclassified non-coding RNA is filed under the name uncultured marine bacterium 311. RNAcentral's name for it is "partial 16S-23S ribosomal RNA intergenic spacer". The record is from RNAcentral.
CCUCCUUAAAAAAUAAUCGCUUAGGAUAGGCGUUCACACGAAUAACUUGCUUUUACCUAAAUCAUUUCUUUACAGAUUUGAGAUUAAGGAGCGUUCUUUAACAUUUUUAUAAGUUCAAUCAAGUCACAUCAUAGUGUCUUUGUUUUUUAAUUUAGAUAUGAAUGAUGUGCAAAUGUCACCAAACCCGUCAUGUUUUAGAACAUAAGUUUGGUGUACAUACUGCAAAGUAAUUUUGGCGAAUGACAAUAGAUACUUGAAGAACAUUAAUCAUUAAGUUGUUUGAUGUAAUAUGGUCAAGUAAUUAAGCGCAUACGGUGGA